CAGCGCGUGCCUCCGCCGGUGCAGGAUGCACGAUUAAUGCCGAGUUCAUGUGAAUCACUACAGUUCCCUUGGAGCAAAGUUCUUGGUGCAAUUGGACAAGCACUUUACAAAACUUUUGGAGGUCAUCAGGAGCAAAGGGGGAGUUGUGAAAGAGAAGACCACCAGGACCUUGCAGGUUUUAGAUGAGACUGUGGACAUCACCAUCAGAAGAGAAUGCAUCUUCAAACCUCUGAUGAUCUACCUCGGUCAACUUGUUGAGCAUCUUAUCAAAGAAUACCAGUAAAAUGAGAUUGAAGAACUGGAGCAGACAACCAUGGCAAUCUUUAUCACUGGGAAAGAGGAUCCUCUCCAUCCACCCAAAGACAUUAAAAUUGUCAUCGAAGGAACUGAGGUCCUGAACGAGUUACCCUUUGUUGCAACUGCUUUUGCCACGGUCUUUGGGCUCAUAUACACACUUAACUUAAAAUAUGGACUUUGUGCAAAAGGUCCUGAUGGAGC
Non-coding RNA from Paramisgurnus dabryanus, 498 nucleotides. The record is from RefSeq and is a predicted model, not a curated record. Lineage: Eukaryota; Metazoa; Chordata; Actinopteri; Cypriniformes; Cobitidae.